UACGAAGGGGGCUAGCGUUGCUCGGAAUCACUGGGCGUAAAGGGUGCGUAGGCGGGUCUUUAAGUCCGGGGGGAAAUCCUGGAGCUCAACUCCAGAACUGCCCUUGAUACUGAGGAUCUUGAGUUCGGGAGAGGUGAGUGGAACUGCGAGUGUAGAGGUGAAAUUCGUAGAUAUUCGCAAGAACACCAGUGGCGAAGGCGGCUCACUGGCCCGAUACUGACGCUGAGGCACGAAAGCGUGGGGAGCAAACAGG
Molecule: ribosomal RNA, 253 nt
Filed under: uncultured bacterium
Lineage: Bacteria
Description: partial 16S ribosomal RNA
Rfam family: Bacterial small subunit ribosomal RNA
Source: RNAcentral